Long non-coding RNA from Osmia lignaria (orchard mason bee), 709 nucleotides. RefSeq lists it as uncharacterized. The record is from RefSeq and is a predicted model, not a curated record. NCBI's taxonomy places the organism in Eukaryota, Metazoa, Arthropoda, Insecta, Hymenoptera, Megachilidae.
GGGUCACACGGAGACGAGGUCAGUGUAAUAUAAUGUCCUUGUGCUAUAUCGCGCUUAUGUCUAGAGUCAAUUGAAAUGAAAGCAGUAUGUAUACUGGCUGAAACGAAACCAGGUCCUCGCGUUCAGACGGAAUUUCGAUUACCGAUAGGCAAGUUCGAUUCGCGAUUACGCGAGAAUCGUCUCAAAGGUACGAAGAGAGAGCGCAUUCACGGUUACGACAAAGGCCGUUGCACUCAAGUGCAUUGAGCCUAUCGUUGUUCUUGGUUCGACGACCCAGUGCAUGCGAUUUUUCGUGGAACAAAAAUUAAUGUUCUCUGAAGUGUUUUAGAGAAGAUUGAAAGUAAGAACAGGAAACGUCGCGAAAGAGGAAUCUAAUGGGCAAGACUCGCGAAACAUCCGACAAUUUGUAGCGCGGAAGUUGUUCGGGGUGAGUCGUUUAGAGAGAUCGUAAGUAUUACUUACUCCUCGUUAAACUCUGAAGAUGACAUCGCUGACGUCCGCCGUUAACAAACUACUUGGCCCGACAAUGCGAAAAAACAGAAUGCUCUCUCUGCCCACGUAUACCACGACGCACUACACCGUUGCUUUGGGCUAUUACUACAUUAACGAGUCACUACUUCAUACGUUUAUACUGCACCGCCACUCCUUGAUAAGAGGUCUGCCGGUGAUAAUAGACUUUGAUGCUUCGUCGACGUUCCCGCGAACUAUU